UCUGGGACAAGCCCUGGUAAACGGGGUCUAAUACCGGAUACCACUCCUGCCUGCAUGGGCGGGGGUUGAAAGCUCCGGCGGUGAAGGAUGAGCCCGCGGCCUAUCAGCUUGUUGGUGGGGUAAUGGCCCACCAAGGCGACGACGGGUAGCCGGCCUGAGAGGGCGACCGGCCACACUGGGACUGAGACACGGCCCAGACUCCUACGGGAGGCAGCAGUGGGGAAUAUUGCACAAUGGGCGAAAGCCUGAUGCAGCGACGCCGCGUGAGGGAUGACGGCCUUCGGGUUGUAAACCUCUUUCAGCAGGGAAGAAGCGAAAGUGACGGUACCUGCAGAAGAAGCGCCGGCUAACUACGUGCCAGCAGCCGCGGUAAUACGUAGGGCGCAAGCGUUGUCCGGAAUUAUUGGGCGUAAAGAGCUCGUAGGCGGCUUGUCACGUCGGAUGUGAAAGCCCGAGGCUUAACCUCGGGUCUGCAUUCGAUACGGGCUAGCUAGAGUGUGGUAGGGGAGAUCGGAAUUCCUGGUGUAGCGGUGAAAUGCGCAGAUAUCAGGAGGAACACCGGUGGCGAAGGCGGAUCUCUGGGCCAUUACUGACGCUGAGGAGCGAAAGCGUGGGGAGCGAACAGGAUUAGAUACCCUGGUAGUCCACGCCGUAAACGUUGGGAACUAGGUGUUGGCGACAUUCCACGUCGUCGGUGCCGCAGCUAACGCAUUAAGUUCCCCGCCUGG
RNAcentral lists this ribosomal RNA (728 nucleotides) under Streptomyces sp. Its description in RNAcentral is "bacterial SSU rRNA". It matches the Rfam family "Bacterial small subunit ribosomal RNA", at positions 137 to 876 of the family's 1533-position model. The record is from RNAcentral. Lineage: Bacteria; Bacillati; Actinomycetota; Actinomycetes; Kitasatosporales; Streptomycetaceae.